GGAUAUGGCGAUUAGACAACGGACAACCAUAAAUCCUAUUACUUGGUGGAGUACAAAUGGAGGUCGUGCUUUUGAGCUUUCAAAGCUUGCACGACGCAUACUAGGCCUUUGUUGCUCUUCUUCUAGUUGCGAGCGCAACUGGAGCACAUUUGAGUUUAUUCAUACCAAAAAGAGGAAUAGACUGGAACAUUCUCGUUUGAAUGAUCUAGUCUAUGUUCA
Telopea speciosissima is the source of this 219-nucleotide long non-coding RNA. RefSeq lists it as uncharacterized. The transcript is spliced from 3 exons. NCBI's taxonomy places the organism in Eukaryota, Viridiplantae, Streptophyta, Magnoliopsida, Proteales, Proteaceae. The record is from RefSeq and is a predicted model, not a curated record.